AUGAGCUUCUCUAUUCAUCUAUCGGAUUGCUCCAAACGCCCUCUAAACUCUGCUAUCAGUCGAUUUUCUACAGUAAUCGACUAUUCUCCGAAUCCCUUCCAGACUUCUUCCGGCCACGGAUGACUCUACUCCGAACUUCUUUCGAACUUCAUCAAUGUCCAAGCUUCUCCGACAACGGAAUUUCUACAGUAACCGGACUCC
RNAcentral lists this long non-coding RNA (201 nucleotides) under Elaeis guineensis (African oil palm). RNAcentral's name for it is "long non-coding RNA (EGUI_LNC042030)". Lineage: Eukaryota; Viridiplantae; Streptophyta; Magnoliopsida; Arecales; Arecaceae. The record is from RNAcentral.